UUGAACGCUGGCGGAAUGCUUUACACAUGCAAGUCGAACGGCAGCACGGGGGCAACCCUGGUGGCGAGUGGCGAACGGGUGAGUAAUGUAUCGGAACGUACCCAGUCGUGGGGGAUAACUAUCCGAAAGGAUAGCUAAUACCGCAUACGUCCUGAGGGAGAAAGCGGGGGAUCGCAAGACCUCGCGCGAUUGGAGCGGCCGAUAUCGGAUUAGCUAGUUGGUGAGGUAAAGGCUCACCAAGGCGACGAUCCGUAGCUGGUCUGAGAGGACGACCAGCCACACUGGAACUGAGACACGGUCCAGACUCCUACGGGAGGCAGCAGUGGGGAAUUUUGGACAAUGGGCGCAAGCCUGAUCCAGCCAUACCGCGUGAGUGAAGAAGGCCUUCGGGUUGUAAAGCUCUUUCAGCCGGAAAGAAAUUGCUUCUAUUAAUACUAGGAGUAGAUGGCGGUACCGGAAGAAGAAGCACCGGCUAACUACGU
This 482-nucleotide ribosomal RNA is filed under the name uncultured bacterium. RNAcentral's name for it is "bacterial SSU rRNA". It matches the Rfam family "Bacterial small subunit ribosomal RNA", at positions 30 to 506 of the family's 1533-position model. The record is from RNAcentral.